CCAUAGCUAAGGCAAAGGGCCGGCCCAAAAGUGAGCGCAUAUCAGCAAAUAAAAUUUGGACAGUAUCAUAUCUCCAUCUGCAUCAAUUCCUUUAUUUCCCAGAAAAGGAAAUCAAAUAUUUCUUUCCGUUGUAUCCAUCAUUUUUUUUUAUAUUUCAUCACAAAAAUCUCUUUUCCCAUCUGAAUACCUUUUUGUUGAUAUUGUUCUUCAUAUGAUUUUGUUCCACCACAAAGAAGUUUUCAAUCUUCAUAUUCAAAUUUAUUUUGCUAUUUAAGUUCGGACCAUCUUUGAAUUUUUAUUUCUUCCAUUAUCGCACUUGAUAUAUCCUUUGACUAAUCUUUCUUUUGUAAACUGUUGAUACCAUCAGAUCUAGAUAUUUGCCUCUGAUUCCAUGUUAUGAUGAUCGAUGUUCCUCCUUGAUUUCAUGGCUUGCAUCUUUUAUGAUGUGGAUACAUGUAUUCAAGGUCAUCAACAGAAGUUUCGUUGAUAUCACUUGCAGUUCGAGUUAGCUAUGGUGAGUCUCCUUACUUUUGGAGAAUUUCAUUUACUUUGAGUUUUGUCAGGAUGCCAUGGGUCUUGUCCCGAUUCCCAUCGUUUUCAUUUAGAGACUUAAUAGAUAGCUAGUAGAGUUUGAGAAGUUUGUUUCAUUUAUCUUGUUAAAUGUUUUAAAGACUUGAGUUCUCUAUUUCAGGCUAAUUGAGUGUUCUAGUUUAUCAAAGUUAAUCAUUUGAACUACAACUUUGUGUUUGAGUUCUAUGGACUUUAUUCGGUAUUAAUCUUUGUAUGUUUGAGUUAGUCUGCCUCUUGUAUUCAGCCAGGAUAAGGGUUCGCUUUGGGAUCAUCACAAGUUCUCGAGUGUCGGUCAUGUCCAUGGUAUAGGCUCGGGUCAUCACAAUUUACUUUUUGAAAAUCACUUUUGAAAUGUUGUAUGUAUAAAACAAUUAAGAAAUAUAUACUUACAAAGAAUCAUCACUUAAUA
Molecule: long non-coding RNA, 979 nt
Organism: Solanum pennellii
Lineage: Eukaryota; Viridiplantae; Streptophyta; Magnoliopsida; Solanales; Solanaceae
Exons: 2
Source: RefSeq, a predicted model, not a curated record